This 1094-nucleotide long non-coding RNA is filed under the name Elaeis guineensis (African oil palm). Its description in RNAcentral is "long non-coding RNA (EGUI_LNC032739)". The record is from RNAcentral. Lineage: Eukaryota; Viridiplantae; Streptophyta; Magnoliopsida; Arecales; Arecaceae.
ACUUUUCAAAGAUCAUAUCUGGCCGAGGUUAAUGCAUCUCAGUUCCAUAGUUUGUGUAAUGUAUCUCACUCUUCAAGAUCAUAUCUGGUUGAAGUUAAGCUGCCUUUAUGAUUUUUAUAUGUUCUUGAGAACUUUGCAUAAACUUUCAAGGUCUUUUUGACCCUGAAGUUUUGAUGCCUUGGAAAGAUCACAUGAAUUUUAUGGAGCUGAUAGGAAGAUGUAUCCUAGGGUUGUUCAAUUUGCCACAUUCUUUCCUUUUUGAUGAGAAUAAAUUGAGCUUUAUAGCCUUUAUUACCUCGGCAAGGGGGGAAAUGAGUACAAAUGGAAUGUGCCUGGCAUACAUUGAUGGCCACAUGCAUGGAUUAGGGCUUGGAUCCAUGAGAAAACCUAGUGGUAAGGGUACUUGAUCUUUGAAAACUGGAUGAAUAUUUGCUGGGUGUUUGUGAAAAUCGUAGCUGUUCCAUUUAGAUACGUGAAGGAUAAGUUAAAUGUACAGUUCUGUGCAUCCUUGUGGUGUUAUCAAACAUGAAGUUAACCAUUGAUCGGCAAAGGUUAUGCAUGUUAGGGCUUGAUUUAUCAUCAGAUGCUUUGACGUGCUUGCCUGACGUGGUUGCUUGCUGAACAUUUGGCAUUGUACCUUGUUAAAUUGGGAAAUAAGGGGGGAACUCAUGUUUGUUGAGAUUCGUCGUUAUUUUCAAGUUCCUGUGUAUCAAAGCAUGGAAUAAAUAACCUGUAAUAAUCGGGCACGCACGUGUGAAUAUAUCAUAGUAGUUUUUUUAUUUGUUGUAUAACAAGAAGAAAAGUUUAUAUAUCAUUAUGUGAAUAUAUAGAAUCACAUUAUAUUUGUAUUCAACCGAAUCAUUUGGAAAUUUGUUUGAGUUGAUGUUGUGCGAUGUCCUGGGUCCAACUAGGAUAAUGAAUUCAGUUUGGGUUGCACAAGAACCAAAUUUGAUUCCACGUUUUUGUUGGGUUAUCAAAUAUUGCAGUGCUUUUUCAGGUAACGGGAGUGUCGUUGGGAUAUUGUUUAUGACUUGGUCUUUUGGUCUCCGAGUGAGGAAAUCAUUGGCCCAUUAUCAUGGAAGGAAAAUAUUUGU